Small nucleolar RNA from Ornithorhynchus anatinus (platypus), 138 nucleotides. NCBI's taxonomy places the organism in Eukaryota, Metazoa, Chordata, Mammalia, Monotremata, Ornithorhynchidae. The record is from RefSeq and is a predicted model, not a curated record.
CCCCUUUCAGAGUCACAUCUGGAGAGUUUCCAGGACUCAACCAGUUUCAGCUAUGGGAGGGAGAGUCAGGCAGAGGCCUGGCCAUUCUAUUCCUAGCAUGGGCAGUGGCUAGUGAGUGGAAGGCAAUCUGCUACAAAU